GUGCUUAACACAUGCAAGUCGAACGGUGAAAGAGAGCUUGCUCUCUGGAUCAGUGGCGAACGGGUGAGUAACACGUGAGCAAUCUGCCCCUGACUCUGGGAUAAGCGUUGGAAACGACGUCUAAUACCGGAUACGAGCUGCGAAGGCAUCUUCAGCAGCUGGAAAGAACUUCGGUCAGGGAUGAGCUCGCGGCCUAUCAGCUAGUUGGUGAGGUAAUGGCUCACCAAGGCGUCGACGGGUAGCCGGCCUGAGAGGGUGACCGGCCACACUGGGACUGAGACACGGCCCAGACUCCUACGGGAGGCAGCAGUGGGGAAUAUUGCACAAUGGGCGAAAGCCUGAUGCAGCAACGCCGCGUGAGGGACGACGGCCUUCGGGUUGUAAACCUCUUUUAGCAGGGAAGAAGCGAAAGUGACGGUACCUGCAGAAAAAGCACCGGCUAACUACGUGCCAGCAGCCGCGGUAAUACGUAGGGUGCAAGCGUUAUCCGGAAUUAUUGGGCGUAAAGAGCUCGUAGGCGGUUUGUCGCGUCUGCUGUGAAAACCCGAGGCUCAACCUCGGGCCUGCAGUGGGUACGGGCAGACUAGAGUGCGGUAGGGGAGAUUGGAAUUCCUGGUGUAGCGGUGGAAUGCGCAGAUAUCAGGAGGAACACCGAUGGCGAAGGCAGAUCUCUGGGCCGUAACUGACGCUGAGGAGCGAAAGGGUGGGGAGCAAACAGGCUUAGAUACCCUGGUAGUCCACCCCGUAAACGUUGGGAACUAGUUGUGGGGUCCAUUCCACGGAUUCCGUGACGCAGCUAACGCAUUAAGUUCCCCGCCUGGGGAGUACGGCCGCAAGGCUAAAACUCAAAGGAAUUGACGGGGACCCGCACAAGCGGCGGAGCAUGCGGAUUAAUUCGAUGCAACGCGAAGAACCUUACCAAGGCUUGACAUAUACGAGAACGCUGCAGAAAUGUAGAACUCUUUGGACACUCGUAAACAGGUGGUGCAUGGUUGUCGUCAGCUCGUGUCGUGAGAUGUUGGGUUAAGUCCCGCAACGAGCGCAACCCUCGUUCUAUGUUGCCAGCACGUAAUGGUGGGAACUCAUGGGAUACUGCCGGGGUCAACUCGGAGGAAGGUGG
Molecule: ribosomal RNA, 1120 nt
Filed under: Microbacterium deminutum
Lineage: Bacteria; Bacillati; Actinomycetota; Actinomycetes; Micrococcales; Microbacteriaceae
Description: bacterial SSU rRNA
Rfam family: Bacterial small subunit ribosomal RNA
Source: RNAcentral